AUGAAAGAAAGAAAAGAGGAUAGAUGACGGCUUCGGUUUUCUAAAAACUCCUGUAUAUUAUAUAUAGGAAUUUAAUCCUAUUCCUAAUAAUAUAAUAACCAUUAAGGAUAAGUACAAAUCUAGAUUUAAAUUUAUCCUUUCCUUAAUUAGUUACAUCAAUCAAAUCCUAAUUUGAUUCGACUUGAACUUUAUAUUAAUUUGAUCUUAUUAAAUUAAUAAUGCAACAUUUGCACAUAAGUCCUCUUAUAAUUUACUAACUAUUAGUAAGUCCUCUCUAGUAACAUUUACACUUUAAUACCACUAAUUUGUAACAAUUACAAAUUAGUCCAAUUAUCAACAUAUUGACAAUUAGGUCCUCCGGCGAUUCAAUAAUCGCGAUCUAGCUAUCCGAUCAAUCACAACCUCUUAUGUGUGUGACCCCAUAGGUUCUAUUCUAUCUGGUAGUGAGAUAUAUUUUGAUCACUAUCAACAAUAUCACUGAAACUCCUUUCAAUGGAUUAGAACAAUUCCAACUCAGCCCAAUGAGAAUUAUCGAUCAUCUAGAUAAUUCUCAUGAGUCUCACAAUCCACCAGUGACGCCUAGCAGCAUGUAGUGGCAUUCCAGUAGAAUGGAAUACUGAACCUCUUGGUGCAGUUACCGUGUGAUACAAUCCUUCUAUCAUGAGUCCCGACUAGACGGAGGUUAUGGAAUAACUCGUCAAACCCCAUCGUCUGUCAUAUGUUAAAUUUAUUCGACUCGAGUUUCUAAUAUCGGAAACCCUUUUCCGCUAUUUAUUCUGCCCUGGCCAAGGUCUUCUAAACUCGGUCUCAUAAAUCACAUAGGACUAACACCCCUAUCUACCAAGGGAGAUAGAUUCCAUCUAAGUGCGCACCCUAUUCCUACAAUGAACCUACUGCAGCCAACAUGCACCGCAAGGACCCGAAUGGCUAGGGACCAAGUGUAUGUACAGUCAAACUACAGUAACCUCAUUGUGAAUAGACGAGGCACCGCAGGUCAAAGGACCAGUCACACUACUGCAACAUUGAGUAAGUCACUGACGAGUGAGUAGACAUCCAAGUGACUUCUCGCGUUGGUCAUGCUCGGUACCCUUGUUCUCUAACAACCACCUGCAUAUUCGCUUCAGUGUCCCCACACUAUCGACUCGAGACCCGUCUACCCAAAAGGGAAGCGACCUAUGCACCAAUCUCACCGGAUCAAUCACCGUCUCCGUGAUGAUCUAUUGAUCGGGAGCAUUUAGGAAUUAACCACCAAUGACGCAUGUCUCAAAUUCUCAACUCUUGAGAAUAUAUGUCAUCAUCUUAUUAAUUCCUUGAACGAUUCAUGGACACAUAUACAACAUGAAUGGAAAUAAUAACCCAAAUUUAUUCAUAAUAUUUUAAAAUCAAAUACAAAUUUAUGUCCUAGAAAGAGUACAUGUGUCAGCCUAGUUGGCUUCUAGGGCAUACAUCUAACAAUCUCCCACUUGUAUUAAAGCCAAUCAACCAUAUACGUAAGCCCCAUCUUCUCAAGGUGGACUUCAGUCUUCUGCUGGCUAAGUGGUUUAGUCAAUGGGUCUGCCACGUUAUCCGUGGAGUCUAUUCUCUGCAUCUCGAUGUAUUUCUUGUCGAGGUAGUCGCGUAUAAUAUGAAACCGCCGCUCUAUAUGCUUGGACUUCUGAUGAGACCUGGGCUCCUUAGCUAGGGCUAUGGCGCCAUUGUUGUCGCAAUAGAGUGGUAUGAAAUCCGAUGACAUCACACUUAAUUCCGCGGCAAACUUCAUGAAUCAGAAGGCCUACAUCAAAUGCGGCGAUAUACUCUGCUUCCAUGGUAGGGUGGUUGUUUGGAACUCUUCCAAUACACCAAGCCACUAUUGCAUAAGAACACACAUCCUGACAUAGACUUUCUAUCGUCAACAUCAGACAUAAAGUCUGAAUCAGUAUAUCCUUGUAUUUUCAACUCUCCUCCUCCAAAGCCCAAGAACAUAUCCUUAGUCCUUCUCAAGUAUUUGAGUAUGUUCUUCACAGCAAUCCAGUGCUCCUCAUCUGGAUUAGAUUGAUAUCUACUUGUGACACUCACAGCAAGCGCGAUAUCAGGUCGUGUACAUAGCAUGGCGUACAUAAGACUCCCUAUAGCUGAUGCAUAAGGGAUCUUACUCAUACGUUGAAUCUCUUCAAAUGUAUUGGGGCACAUUUUCUUAGAGAAAUAAAUUCCAUGUCUAAGAGGUAAAAGUCCCUUUUUGGAGUUUUCCGUGCUGAACCUCUUCAGCACCUCUUCUAUGUACAUUUUCUGUGAGAGGCCUAGCAUCCUUUUAGAUCUAUCUCUAUAGACCUUUAUCCCCAAAAUAUAGGAUGCUUCCCCUAGAUCUUUCAUGGAGAAUUCUUUAGACAACCAUAUUUUAACUGAAGUCAGCAUUGGAAUGUCAUUCCCAAUUAGGAGAAUGUCAUCCACGUACAAUACGAGGAAUGUGACAGCUCUCCCACUGACCUUCUUAUAAACACAUGGUUCCUCCUCAUUCUUAACGAAAUCAAACGAUUUAAUCACGUUAUCGAAACGAGUAUUCCAAGUCCGAGAUGCUUGCUUAAGUCCAUAAAUGGACCGUUGCAACUUGCAUACUUUGUGACUUUCGUCACCGGAAGUGAAACCCAAAGGCUGCUCCAUAUAGAUAUCUUCCUCAAGAUAUCCAUUUAGGAAGGCAGUUUUCAGAUCCAUUUGCCAAAUAUCAUAAUCAUAGUAUGCUGCAAGGGCAAGCAGUGUUCGAAUGGAUUUAAGCAUGGCCACAGGUGAAAAGGUCUCCUGAUAGUCAAUGCCUUCGCGUUGACUAUAACCUUUCGCAACCAGCCUUGCUUUAUAGGUCUCUACCUUUCCAUCCGAACUUAUCUUUCUUUUGUAGAUCCAUUUACACCCGAUAGGUACUAUACCUUCUGGUGGGUCUACCAAAAUCCAAACCUGCUUGGAAUGCAUUGAGUCAAUUUCUGACUUCAUGGCAUCCAGUCAUUUCUCGGAAUCGAUGUCAGACAUCGCCUCAUUGUAGGUUUUGGGAUCAUCUCCAUGUUCCCUAUCUCCUAUGAGGAACAUUUCCUCUACUUCCUCUGUAACGAUAUCUAAGUAUCUUUUAGUGGUAUGGGAGAUUCUACUCGACCUACGAGGUGGAGGAGGUACUACGUGUACUGGCUCAGCUUGAAUAGGUUUUGUAAGUUUGAUGACUCGUUGCUCUUCAGAGACUCUCUCUUCGAGCUCAAUUUUUCUCCCACUAGCUUCUUGAAUAAAUUAUUUUUCCAAAAAAAUAGCAUGUUUGCUUACAACUACAUUGUGAUUCUCCGGGAUAUAAAAAUAGUAACCUAAAGUUUCUUUAGGAUAUCCAAUAAAACGAGCCUUCUCAGACCUAGCCUCUAACUUGUCCGCCUGUAGUCGCUUAACAUGGGCCGGACACCCCCAAAUCUUGAUAUGGCCAAGACUUGGUUUCUUACCAUGCCACAUCUCAUACGGCGUAGUAGGAACAGAUUUAGAGGGAACUCUAUUUAACAAGUAAGCUGCAGUAAGCAAAGCAUGUCCCCAAAGAAAUAAAGGAGGAUCAGUGAAGCUCAUCAUGGAUCGAACCAUAUCCAAUAAGGUUCGGUUUCUCCGUUCUGACACCCCGUUGAGUUGAGGUGUUCCCGGAGGAGUCCACUGUGAGACUAUGCCGUUUUCUUUGAGAUAAUUUAGGAACUCUCCACUAAGGUAUUCUCCUCCUCGAUCUGAUCGAAGAACCUUGAUGGAUUUUUCAGUUUGUUUUUCUACUUCAUAUCUGAAUUCUUUGAACUUUUCAAAAACCUCAGAUUUGUGUUUCAUAAGAUACACAUACCCAUACCGUGAAUAAUCAUCGGUAAAGGUUAUGAAGUAGAGAUAACCACCCCUAGCAUGCACAUCAAAUGGCCCACACACAUCAGUGUGUAUCAAGGAAAGUAUCUCAGUGGCCCUUUCCCCUUGUCCUACAAAGGGUAAUUUAGUCAAUUUUUCUUGAAGACAAGAUUCACAAACUGGAUAAGACUCUGAAGUCAAUGAGCCGAGAAGCCCAUCUUUAUCCAAUUUAUUGAUCCUUUCUUCUCCAAUAUGACCAAGCCUGAGGUGCCACAUAUACUUUAGGUUCAUCUCAUCUCUAGGUCUCUUAGACCCAACAGCAGUCACUACUUGCUCAGAAAUAUUUGCAGAAACAUCCAUAUAUAAAUGAUAAAGACUGUCAAUCAUAAAACCACGACUAAUAAUAUUGUUUCUAAAAUAAAUUAUGCAGUAGUCUUUGUCAUAAUUAAAAUUAUAACCGUCCCGUGCUAAAGAAGAAACAUAAAUUAAAUUCCUGCUAGCAGCAGGUACAUAAUAAUAGUCUUUAAGUAAUAAAACAUAUUCUGACGGUAGUCGCAAAAGGAUAUGUGCCAGCAGCCACAGCAGCAACUCUUGCCCCGUUGCCCACCCAUAGGGUCACUUCACCUUCCUUAAGCCCUAUACUUUCCCAUAGACCCUGCAUUGAAGUACGCAGAUGAGAACUAGAACCAGAGUCUAUAACCCAACUAGAAGUAGAGGAAACCGUAAGGUUAGUUUCUAUUACGAACAAGUCUGACAUACCUUCCGAAGGUGUGUCCUUCUUUUUAUUCUUCAAGCUCUCCAGGUAGACAGGACAAUUUCUCUUCCAAUGACUAUCAACGUUGCAGUGGAAACAUUUUCCUUUGUCAGCGGCCUUAUUCUUAGGAACUUCCUUCUUGGGCUUAUUUUCCGUCUUUUGUUUCUUCGCGGGUUUCUUCCUCCAAUUAGACUUUCUUUUGGAAGAGGAAGCUCGCACCACAGCGAGAAUUGAGCCCUUUGAAAUUUUCAAAGUCCCUUCUAUAGUUACCAACAUGUUCAAUAACUCAGCGUUGGUGCAAUCAAUUUUAUUCAUAUGGUAGUUUAUAAUAAACUGUCCAUAUGAUACAGGAAGGGAUUGGAGGAUCAGAUCAACUUGCAAUUCCUUAUUCAUUUUCACGCCAAGCUUCUCAAGCUCCUCGAGGUCUUUGAUCAUUGUCAAACAGUGAUCAUGAACAGACUGCCCAUCGUGCAUCUUGGCUUUAAAGAGUCUUUUGGACACUUCAAAACGAGCAGAUCGGCUUUGCUCACCAUACAACUACUUGAGGUGAGUUAGCAUUUCCUUAGCAGUCUUCAUAUCCUCAUGUUGGCGUUGAAGUUCAUUUGACAUCGACGCCAAAAUGUAGCACCUUACUUUAUUAUCGUCAUCCGUCCAUUUUUCCUGAGCUGUCCUUUGAUCAGCUGUAGGACGGUUUGGUAAUGUGGGGGGGUCCUGGUUGAGAAUAUAACUAAGCUUUUCGGAACUCAAAACUAUUUUUAAGUUCCUUAACCAAUCUUUAUAAUUAGUUCCAAUUAAACGGUUUGAAUCAAGAAUUCGAGAGAGAGGAUUGGAAGCGGACAUUUUAUUCUGCAGAGAGUAAAUAUUCAAAAUUAGAUAUUUGUAUUUGUUUUGAAAAUUUGUUUUAGGGAUUUUAAAAAUAAAUUUAGCCUCCCACUAUUUUCUCGAGUCUCUUACACUCCUCGGGUAGAGAAACGAAAACCCAACACGACAAAAGGUUGCAAGUGGGUACUGCAGUCCCACCAGUUUAACGUACCACCUCACCUAACAGUUAUUGGUGAUAUGCAAACCGAUGAGUGGACAACUCUUGUCCAAUGCUUCUCAAGCAAAUUGGAGAGAUCGGUCUCUAAGUCCUGUAAGCCUCACCUGACAGUUAUUGGCCCCAUUCCUUAGUUAAGUCAGACUCACCGUUCAAACGCGUAAGCAAAACCGUCAUUGGGUCCCUCAACUGACAGUUAUUGGGCCGAACACCAUCUUUACUCCGAAGCAUCUCAUGCUAAUAGAGUGGUUGCGAAUUCCCGAUGCAACUGACCACUGUAACCAGCCGUGCCAAUCAACACCAGAAAAGCGCCCGCACUUCUACAACGGCGGAAGACCGCUCGACUUAAUAUUUAUGAGGAGAUUUAUUUGGGUCUCAAAAAAUAUUUUAUUUCUUUACAUCUAAUGCAAAUAAAAUAAAAAAUCAAUCCGCACAAACAAAUAUAAUUAAACUGGUGAUGAUCAUGGAUCUUAGAAGUGGAUUCGGACUCGAGCCACUGAGUCGGAAUCGGGGUCUUAGGGUCAUAAAUUACAAGCACACACACGUCAUUGGUUUGAUUGUUUUCAACUUCUUGAUCCGAUCUGGAGCUUCAACUUGAUCCGAUCCUUAUCAACACCUUGAUCUGACCGUCAUCAAGUAUUCGUCUCUAUCCGGACCUUGCGAACUUUUGGGCUUGCAACCGAUCAACCAAUGACGUGCAAUCAUACAUUAUGCAACCCAAUAAUAAAAAUAAAAUAAAAAUUAAUUACAAUUGAUAACUUUUAUCUCUAAUCUAUUGAGACACGCAGGUCUCCAAAUAAAUCGGCUUGUGCAUGCAAGCACAAAUAUAGCCAUCUCUAAUACAAAAUCCUUAAUUUAAACAAAUUUAAAAUUACAGGAUUCGGCAUACACAUCAUACAUCACAUGUCAAAAUAUAAAUAGGUCGCUAUCCAUGAUCAUCACCGUAUCUCAUACAUCACAUGCAUAAUAAUAAAUUUUGGAUAUUCUAAUUAACCGUUAACCGAUGAUUCGAAAGAAUAAAUUAUUAAAAAUAAUCAAUCUUAUGAAUUAUAAUAAUUUUGAUCAACAAUUUAAUCUACAAAAAUAACAUCUUGAUCUCAUCAAGAAAUCAAUUUGAUCUAAUCAAAUUAGAUUCACCCUUUUCUUUUAUUUUAAAAACGAUCUAAUCAGCUUUUAAAAAAAUGUUUAAGAAUUUUUUUAAAAAAAUUUUGUCAUCCAUACGGACGCUACAGUAGCAUCCAUACGGAUGCUACAGUAAUUGCUACAGUAACAUCUUUUUUUUUUUUUUUUUGCUUGCAUGCUAGAAAUCAUCAAUUAAAUUGUUUGAUCAAUUUGAUUUUUCGAAUCAACCAAACAACGAUCUAUAAAUCUUUUGAUCGGCGAAAAACAGUUUAGAAUACCCAAAUUCAUAAUUUUAAUCUUAAAAAAAACAUGAGGAUGGCUCUGAUACCACUGUUAGAAAAUUGGUAAAACGCAACGGAAAAGAAAAUCAAAUAAAUUUGAUUUUUGAAAACUCUCGAGAUCCAAUCUCAAAAAUCACGCAAUUGGGAUCCCUCAUGUUCUUAAGAAUAAAGAAGAAAAGUAAGAUCGAAACUUUACCUUAUUCGCGGAUAAAUCUUUAUCUCAAUUUGAUGAUCGUGGAAUUCGGUUCUCUUGAAGCCGCACACGCGUCCGGCCUCUAUAGGUAUCCACACGAGGUUCUUGAUUUGAUCGAUGUCCUCACCGGGGUGCUAGCUCCCUUACAAAAUGACGUCUUUCUUACUAGAAGAUGAGAAAAGAGGAUAGAUGACGGCUUCGGUUUUCUAAAAACUCCCGUAUAUUAUAUAUAGGAAUUUAAUCCUAUUCCUAAUAAUAUAAUAACCAUUAAGGAUAAGUACAAAUCUAGAUAUAAAUUUAUCCUUUCCUUAAUUAGUUACAUCAAUCAAAUCCCAAUUUGAUUCGACUUGAACUUUAUAUUAAUUUGAUCUUAUCAAAUUAAUAAUGCAAUAUUUGCACAUAAGUCCUCUUAUAAUUUACUAACUAUUAGUAAGUCCUCUCUAGUAACAUUUACAUUUUAAUACCACUAAUUUGUAACAAUUACAAAUUAGUCUAAUUAUCAACAUAUUGACAAUUAGAUCCUCCGACGAUUCAAUAAUCGCGAUCUAGCUAUCUGAUCAAUCACAACCUCUUACGUGUGUGACCCCAUAGGUUCUAUUCUAUCUGCUAGUGAGAUAUAUUUUGAUCACUAUCAACAAUAUCACUGAAACUCCUUUCAGUGGAUCAGAACAAUUCCAACUCAGCCCAAUGAGAAUUAUCGAUCAUCUAGAUAAUUCUCAUGAGUCUCACAAUCCACCAGUGACGCCUAGCAGCAUGUAGUGGCAUUCCA
This 7971-nucleotide long non-coding RNA is filed under the name Ananas comosus (pineapple). RNAcentral's name for it is "long non-coding RNA (ACOM_LNC029028)". Lineage: Eukaryota; Viridiplantae; Streptophyta; Magnoliopsida; Poales; Bromeliaceae. The record is from RNAcentral.